CAUCUCGGGAAAGAUCACUGUCGGGAGGCCUGGAGUUGAAGGGGUCUAGAACACCACCCCCCCCCCAACCUGCAACACCCCCAAGAAAGGCAAUCUAGUUGUGCAACGGCGGAAGAAAAUGUAAUCAGCUUCGGAGGGCGUCAGAGUUGCAGAUAACGGGCUGUACCAAGCUCUAGGUUAUGGAAGGGAGACGAGGCAACACUCCCGAUUCCUAAGGUCAAUCCAAAAUGACUGGAUGCCCCAGAGCUUGCCUGUUCUGGGUUAUUGGUCCAUCAGAAAUGAGUGGAAGGACCCAAGGACACUGAUUCACGCUAGAGAAGCUGCGGUUUACAGACUCAUCCUUCGUUGUUGCCAUUGUGACUGCAGAACCACUACAUGCUGUAGCAGCCCCUUCCACCCUCUGGGUUGAGGUCUACCACAGCAGAAUGCGGGGCGCGGCGAGCGGGGCGUGGAUGCAGCAGGACGAGCAGGAGGCACAGAGGGAUCAAAGUGAAGAGAGCAGAGUGGAGGGAGCUGAAAGGGUUGGCAGAGAAGGAGGAGGCUUUAAGGUGAGAUUUGAAGACCUGGAGAGAGGGCGGAUUUGCGGAUAUCAGAAGGAAGGGGAUUGCGAAGACGGGGAGCCACCCUGGAGAAGCUGUGGCGUCCAGAAAGGAACAGCAAGGAGGCCUGAAGAUCUAGAGCACAAGGGGGUUUUAGCGCAGCAGAAGAUCAGGCAGCUAGUGCAGUUCCUCCACGCUUUCUGUCCGGUCACCCCGGAGGCAGAGUUGCGACCGAGGUCACCAGCCCAAACUGGCGUUUCUGUUGCUGCCUGGACUCCGACACCGACAAUGUGCUCCGUGCCAGGCAGAGAUCUGAGACACGGUUACCUGUAGACACCAACUGCUUUCUGGCUUCCCACAGAUCCUCAGCAGUUGUAUUGUCUUUCAGCUUGUCUCUGAUCCAUUUUCACACUUGGAGGUGAAUCUUCUCGCCCUUUUUCACUUAUAUAGAGACACUUUCCCAAGCACAUGAACCGAUGUACAGUGAGUUCACACUCCUCUGUUGCAACACAACCUGCAGUGUUUUUAAACCCCAGCGCCAACCUGCUAUCACAACUUUUAAUCCUUUUUUUUCCCCCUUCUCCUGGAUGUUAUUGUCUCCCUUACCUACACUGCUAGACUAAACAGAGUUUUAAUUAUCACAGGUGACGUUCAGCUUGU
Paramormyrops kingsleyae is the source of this 1199-nucleotide long non-coding RNA. RefSeq lists it as uncharacterized. Lineage: Eukaryota; Metazoa; Chordata; Actinopteri; Osteoglossiformes; Mormyridae. The record is from RefSeq and is a predicted model, not a curated record.